GAGUGUUGCUAGGAUUUAGAUGGCUAAUCAGGAAAUCAAAGGGAGGAUGGAAGAUCAGGAUAAGAGACAUGCCAUUGAGGUGAAGCGCUUUGAGAUAGACACCGCUUAUUAUCGGAAGGUCAACCAAGCUUUGGAGUCAUCUACAAAGGAGCACGACAUCACCAAGGAGAGGUUGGCUAGAGCUUCGAAGGUCAUUGAAGAUGAGAAGAGGAGACAUAUCCUUGUGAGGGAUCAGAGGGAAGACAGG
Molecule: long non-coding RNA, 247 nt
Filed under: Lathyrus oleraceus (garden pea)
Lineage: Eukaryota; Viridiplantae; Streptophyta; Magnoliopsida; Fabales; Fabaceae
Description: Pisum sativum (pea) long non-coding RNA (PSAT_LNC037643)
Source: RNAcentral